This is a long non-coding RNA of Ictalurus punctatus (channel catfish), 904 nucleotides long. NCBI's taxonomy places the organism in Eukaryota, Metazoa, Chordata, Actinopteri, Siluriformes, Ictaluridae. The record is from Ensembl.
GUCAGAUGAGAUCAGGCUUUUUCAGAGUGGUAUGGCCGUAAGCGAAAGCUGACCCCAAAUGGGGCCUAUUUAAAUAGUGUAAUCAAAAGACUGACUGAUUGAUUGAUUGAUUGAUUGAUUGAUUGAUUGAUUGAUUGAGUCCCCUUCAAACCUGUGUCCAACCUUUAUCCCAAAACAGGAUGUUGUGCAGAGGCCAUGAAAACACUGAUCCAAAUAAAAAGCUUACAGCACCUAGUAUUCCCAUUCAGUCUCCCAACCGAGUACUAACCAGGCCCAACUCUGCUUUGCUUCCGAGGUCAGAUGAGAUCAGGCUUUGUCAGAGUGGUAUGGCCGUAACCGAAAGCUGACCCCAAAUGGGGCCUAUUUAAAUAGUGUAAUCAAAAGACUGACUGACUGAUUGAUUGAUUGGGUCCCCUUCAAACCUGUGUCCAACCUUUAUCCCAAAACAGGAUGUUGUGCAGAGGCCAUGAAAACACUGAUCCAAAUAAAAAGCUUACAGCACCUAGUAUUCCCAUUCAGUCUCCCAACCAAGUACUAACCAGGCCCGACUCUGCUUUGCUUCCAAGGUCAGAUGAGAUCAGGCUUUUUCAGAGUGGUAUGGCCGUAAGCGAAAGCUGACCCCAAAUGGGGCCUAUUUAAAUAGUGUAAUCAAAAGACUGACUGACUGAUUGAUUGAUUGAUUGGGUCCCCUUCAAACCUGUGUCCAACCUUUAUCCCAAAACAGGAUGUUGUGCAGAGGCCAUGAAAACACUGAUCCAAAUAAAAAGCUUACAGCACCUAGUAUUCCCAUUCAGUCUCAUAACCAAGUACUAACCAGGCCCAACUCUGCUUUGCUUCCGAGGUCAGAUGAGAUCAGGCUUUUUCAGAGUGGUAUGGCCGUAAGCGAAAGCUGACCGCAAAUGGG